Non-coding RNA from Coniosporium uncinatum, 108 nucleotides. Lineage: Eukaryota; Fungi; Ascomycota; Dothideomycetes. The record is from the annotation of a GenBank genome assembly.
GUCUUCUUGGUCUAGUCGGUUAUGACGUCGGUCUCAUAAUUGAAUAUGAUUCGCAUGUCAAACAUGCGGGCUAUCCGAAGGUCGUGAGUUCGAUUCUCACAGAGGACA